CUUGUACACACCGCCCGUCACACCAUGGGAGUGGGUUUCACCAGAAGUAGGUAGUCUAACCGCAAGGAGGGCGCUUACCACGGUGGGAUUCAUGACUGGGGGUG
This 104-nucleotide ribosomal RNA is filed under the name uncultured bacterium. RNAcentral's name for it is "partial 16S ribosomal RNA". It matches the Rfam family "Bacterial small subunit ribosomal RNA", at positions 1380 to 1482 of the family's 1533-position model. The record is from RNAcentral.